GAGUUUGAUCAUGGCUCAGAACGUACGCUGGCGGCACGCCUAACACAUGCAAGUCGAACGAAGUAGCAAUACUUAGUGGCAGACGGGUGAGUAACAUGUAGGUAUCUGCCCUUUGGCCUGGAAUAACACGAGGAAACUUGUGCUAAUACCGGAUAAGUCUUUACGGAGAAAGCUUUAUGCACCAUUGGAUGAGCCUGCACUUGAUUAGUUUGUUGGUGGGGUAAUGGCCUACCAAGACUUUGAUCAAUAGCUGAUUUGAGAGGAUGAUCAGCCACAUUGGGACUGAGACACGGCCCAAACUCCUACGGGAGGCAGCAGUGGGGAAUCUUGCACAAUGGAGGAAACUCUGAUGCAGCGAUGCCGCGUGAGUGAAGAAGGCCCUUGGGUUGUAAAGCUCUUUCGUCGGGGAAGAAAAUGACUGUACCCGAAUAAGAAGGUCCGGCUAACUUCGUGCCAGCAGCCGCGGUAAUACGAAGGGACCUAGCGUAGUUCGGAAUUACUGGGCUUAAAGAGUUCGUAGGUGGUUGAAAUAGUUGGUGGUGAAAUCCCAGAGCUUAACUCUGGAACUGCCAUCAAAACUUUUCAGCUAGAGUUUGAUAGAGGAAAGCAGAAUUUCUAGUGUAGAGGUGAAAUUCGUAGAUAUUAGAAAGAAUACCAAUUGCGAAGGCAGCUUUUCUGGAUCAUUACUGACACUGAGGAACGAAAGCAUGGGUAGCGAAGAGGAUUAGAUACCCUCGUAGUCCAUGCCGUAAACGAUGUGUGUUAGACGUUGGAAAUUUAUUUUCAGUGUCGCAGCGAAAGCGAUAAACACACCGCCUGGGGAGUACGACCGCAAGGUUAAAACUCAAAUGAAUUGACGGGGACCCGCACAAGUAGUGGAGCAUGUGGUUUAAUUCGAAGAUACGCGCAGAACCUUGCCACACUUGACAUGUUCGUCGCGACUUUAGAGAUUAAAGUUUUCGGUUCGGCCCGGACGAAAACACAGGUGCUGCAUGGCUGUCGU
RNAcentral lists this ribosomal RNA (1003 nucleotides) under uncultured bacterium. Its description in RNAcentral is "bacterial SSU rRNA". It matches the Rfam family "Bacterial small subunit ribosomal RNA", at positions 9 to 1055 of the family's 1533-position model. The record is from RNAcentral.